UGAGGAAUAUUGGUCAAUGGGCGAGAGCCUGAACCAGCCAAGUAGCGUGCAGGAUGACGGCCCUAUGGGUUGUAAACUUCUUUUAUAUGGGAAUAAAGUGAGGGACGUGUCCCUUAUUGCAUGUACCAUACGAAUAAGGACCGGCUAAUUCCGUGCCAGCAGCCGCGGUAAUACGGAAGGUCCAGGCGUUAUCCGGAUUUAUUGGGUUUAAAGGGAGCGUAGGCCGUUUGGUAAGCGUGUUGUGAAAUGUAGGAGCUCAACUUCUAGAUUGCAGCGCGAACUGUCAGACUUGAGUGCGCACAACGUAGGCGGAAUUCAUGGUGUAGCGGUGAAAUGCUUAGAUAUCAUGAAGAACUCCGAUUGCGAAGGCAGCUUACGGGAGCGCAACUGACGCUGAAGCUCGAAGGUGCGGGUAUCGAACAGG
This 424-nucleotide ribosomal RNA is filed under the name Verrucomicrobiota bacterium. Its description in RNAcentral is "Verrucomicrobia bacterium partial 16S ribosomal RNA". It matches the Rfam family "Bacterial small subunit ribosomal RNA", at positions 355 to 776 of the family's 1533-position model. Lineage: Bacteria; Pseudomonadati; Verrucomicrobiota. The record is from RNAcentral.